This is a long non-coding RNA of Bacillus rossius redtenbacheri, 386 nucleotides long. RefSeq lists it as uncharacterized. The transcript has 3 exons. The record is from RefSeq and is a predicted model, not a curated record. Lineage: Eukaryota; Metazoa; Arthropoda; Insecta; Phasmatodea; Bacillidae.
GUGACAGAUAGCGACACACGCAAUGCUAUCUAUUUUCCGAUUUGGGAACCUAUUCUGGCUGGCAUUGGAAUUUGAGCCAUUUGAAAGUGAAUAAUUGUAUGACUGCUGCUGGUUCGUAUGCUGAAUAAUUUCAUCAGUGGAGACCGAAUCACUUACGCGGAGCAUUCAACAGGAUUUAUCUCUUAAAUUGACAUUGUACGGCCGAAGGCCACCCCAAAGCCCGACCUGCACCCGCGAGCACUCGGCUCCGCUAACGGAAAGCACCCCUAGCCAUGGCCCACCUGAGUCAAGUGAGCGGACCGCAGCCCAAGGGUGCCGGUACGAAUGCCGAGGUCGUAUAAAAGUAAACAGGGUGCUCGACCCUAUAGAAACUACACCACUGAACA